GAUGAACGCUGGCGGCGUGCUUAACACAUGCCAGUCGAACGGUGAACGAGUAAGCUUGUGCUCUCCCGAUCAGCGGCGAACGGGUGAGUAACACGUGCACACUCUGCCCCUAUCUCGGGGAUAAGCUCUUGAAACGACGUACAAUACCAGAUACGACGCGGUAGGGCAUCCUCCCGGCGUUGAACGAACUUCGGUCGGGGAUGGGCUCGCGGUCUAUCCUCUUGUUGGUGCGGGAACGGCCCCCCAAGGCGCCGACGGGUCGCCGGCCUGAGAGGGUGACCGGCCACACUGGGACUGAGACACGGCCCAGACUCCUACGGGAGGCAGCAGUGGGGAAUAUUGCACAAUGGGCGCAAGCCUGAUGCAGCAACGCCGCGUGAGGGACGACGGCCUUCGGGUUGAAAACCUCUUUUAGCAGGGAAGAAGCGAAAGUGACGGUACCUGCAGAAAAAGCACCGGCUAACUACGUG
This 470-nucleotide ribosomal RNA is filed under the name uncultured bacterium. RNAcentral's name for it is "partial 16S ribosomal RNA". It matches the Rfam family "Bacterial small subunit ribosomal RNA", at positions 28 to 507 of the family's 1533-position model. The record is from RNAcentral.